RNA transcript from Cicer arietinum (chickpea), 1947 nucleotides. It is a transcript of the gene named putative RING-type E3 ubiquitin transferase C3H69, with no coding region annotated. Lineage: Eukaryota; Viridiplantae; Streptophyta; Magnoliopsida; Fabales; Fabaceae. The record is from RefSeq and is a predicted model, not a curated record.
AUUUUGGUAGGCUGUGAACACAGCUGAAUCAAACCUUGUGUGCAACUUGUGUGUUAUGUUUUUUCUCUCAAUACAAGUGACGUUUCUUUAUUUUCCAUUCAAUUUCUAAGUUUCCAAUCUUUUCUCACAUUUUCUAUUCUUAAAUAAAAAUCCUAAAUAAAAAUCCUAUCUUCACAACCCCACAAACACCAUUUCUCGGUGCUCUCAAAUCUUUUCUUAUUUUGAGUGGCUGCAAAACCCCACGUGUUUUGCUCCCUCAAUUUUUAUUUUUUCCCCCCCUUUUAUUUGUUAACCUAUUUUUUUUCCAUAAUCAAUAAUCACUUUGAGGUUUAGGGUUUUGAAUCCUCACGCCUCUCGAUUAGUUUAAGGAUUGUUGUUUCGGUUUUGCCAUGUCAAAGAGGGUUCUUUGUAAGUUCUUUGCUCAUGGCGCUUGUCUGAAAGGGGAGCAUUGUGAAUUUUCUCAUGACUGGAAAGCCCCUCCAAACAAUAUAUGCACCUUUUAUCAGAAAGGAGUUUGUGCUUAUGGUAGUCGCUGCAGGUAUGAUCAUGUCAAAGCUUCUCGAGCGCAGCCCUCUACUCCAUCUUCUUCAAUAAUCGAAAACCAGCCCCUUGUUUCAGAAUCUGUUGUACUUGGUAAUACCAGAAUUACAUCAAACGAUGUUACUACAGCUGCCGAGUUUUCUCUUUCCAACACUCCUUAUGUUCUUCCCAGUAUACCAGCCUGGAAUCAAGAAUCUGUUCAUCACGAUUUCUUAAGGGAAGAUGAUGUUGUUCAAUCGAUAAUUACUUCGCCUUCUGAGCUUCCAAUUUGUUCCUUUGCUGCUGCUGGAAACUGUCCACGAGGUGAACAAUGUCCUCAUGUACAUGGAGAUUUAUGCCCCUCGUGUGGAAGACAUUGCUUGCAUCCUUUCCGGCCUGAAGAAAGAGAAGAACAUAUGAUGAGUUGCGAAAAUAAGCAAAAGCAUCUUGAGGCAUUGAAAAGAAGUCAAGAAAUCGAAUGCAGUGUUUGCCUGGAGCGCGUUCUUUCAAAGCCUACAGCAGCUGAACGUAAGUUUGGGCUGCUAUCUGAAUGCGAUCAUCCAUUCUGCAUAUCGUGUAUUAGAAAUUGGCGUAGUAGUAACCCGACAUUAGGGAUGGAUGUUAAUAGCACAUUGCGGGCAUGUCCUAUAUGUCGCAAGCUAUCUUACUUUGUCGUUCCAAGUGUUAUUUGGUAUGCUACAAGUGAUGAGAAACUGGAAAUCAUCGAUACCUACAAGGCAAAGCUCAAGUCAAUUGACUGCAAGCAUUUUGACUUUGGGGAUGGAAACUGCCCUUUUGGAACUAGCUGCUUCUACAAGCAUGCAUAUCGAGACGGCCGUCUUGAGGAGGUAGCUUUGCGACAUCUUGGGGCUGCAGAUGGUGACACCAUAAUUGCCAAAGACAUCAGGCUGUCGGAUUUUCUUGCUAACAUGCAUUUAAGUUGAUGGUUGAUGUUCACAUUUUCGGAUGGGAAAUGGGCUCUAGAAAUCCGGAAUUUAAGUGGGAGCUUCAAAGGUACUAGAGAAAAUGCUGCAGUGUGCAUUCCAUUGUUAUAAUAAAGUGCAUAUGUAAAAUGGUUAAUGGAGAUAUAUGCUUGUACAACGGAAUAAAUUCCAAUAAGCUCUAACUUUUAAAGCAUACAAAAUGAAGUAUGGAAUGAUUGGUGGGUGGUAUUAUAAACUACAGAGUGCAUCAUUUUAGCCAUCUAAGACUCUUGAAAAAACAUUUACUUUGUGUGGUGGAUUUCAUAGUUACUUUAUGUAAAAGUUGAUUUAGGGGAUGAGGUUUUUUUUUGUUAGCAAUAAUGUGAUUUACAAGAUAUAGGUGUUUAUUUGUAAACUUGAUUUUAUUGCUUGGUGACAUUGCACCAAGAACCUUGAUUUUGUUAUUAUUACUUACAGGAAUUUCUCAGGAGAUUUUUGGUGUUCA